GACGAACGCUGGCGGCGUGCUUAACACAUGCAAGUCGAACGGAAAGGCCCUGCUUUUGUGGGGUGCUCGAGUGGCGCACGGGGGAGUAACACGUGAGUAACCUGUCCUUGACUUUGGGAUAACUUCAGGAAACUGCGGCUCAUACCGGAUAGGAGCUCCUGCUGCAUGUUGGGGGUUGGAAAGUUUCGGCGGUUGGGGAUGGACUCGCGGCUUAUCAGCUUGUUUGUGGGGUAGUGGCUUACCAAGGCUUUGACGGGUAGCCGGCCUGAGAGGGUGACCGGCCACAUUGGGACUGAGAUACGGCCCAGACGCCUACGGGAGGCAGCAGUGGGGAAUAUUGCACAAUGGGCGGAAGCCUGAUGCAGCAACGCCGCGUGCGUGAUGACGGCCUUCGGGUUGUAAACCGAUUUCGCCUGUGACGAAGCGUGAGUGACGGUAAUGGGUAAAGAAGCACCGGCUAACUACGUG
RNAcentral lists this ribosomal RNA (468 nucleotides) under uncultured bacterium. RNAcentral's name for it is "partial 16S ribosomal RNA". It matches the Rfam family "Bacterial small subunit ribosomal RNA", at positions 28 to 507 of the family's 1533-position model. The record is from RNAcentral.